RNAcentral lists this transfer RNA (109 nucleotides) under Promethearchaeota archaeon. Its description in RNAcentral is "Candidatus Lokiarchaeota archaeon (microbial mat metagenome) tRNA-Met". The record is from RNAcentral. Lineage: Archaea; Promethearchaeati; Promethearchaeota.
AGCGGGUUGGGGAAGCCAGGCCUAUCCCGCAGGGCUCAUAACCCUGAGACCGGUUGUUCGUCGUGUCUUGACUUCCAAGGUGCGGACAAAAAUCAACCACCCGCUACCA